Phoenix dactylifera (date palm) is the source of this 2543-nucleotide non-coding RNA. Lineage: Eukaryota; Viridiplantae; Streptophyta; Magnoliopsida; Arecales; Arecaceae. The record is from RefSeq and is a predicted model, not a curated record.
ACUUGAGGCUAGGAAAGUUAUAUGACUGGGAAUACUUUUGCAUUUCUUUUUGAUAAUCUUUGGAGAAAAUUGAUGGGGGAUAACUGUCCAUUUGGGGCUGUUCAAUGAUUAUUUUUGGUUUCCUACAUGCAGAUAUCUCAAAAAGGGAUCAUUGCAUCUGCCUGCUCCCUUCAAUUGCUGUCAUAAUUUCUUUGUUCAGUGAAAAGAAUAGAUGGCUUAGGACAGAAUUCUCAAUGGAUGAAGAGGUGGAUUGAGAAUUUUCCAAGGGCUCUCAUACAGUGGACAGAAUGGAUAGUACAGCCAUCUGGAGUUCCAGCACCAAUUGGCACAAAGCACAGAAUUUGGGGAUGGAGUGUCUGAGAAGGUCUUCAAGUCGCGGUUGGCUCGUAAGAUGGAGAAGUUUACAGCUGGUGGCGGUGAGGGGAAGAGCAAGAGGAGCAUGUGGGAGUGGGACUAUGAGAGCUUUGUGGAUGUUUCGAAGAGGGCGAUGAUGGGGAGGUCAGGAAGCAGCAGCAGAAGGUGGUUUGGGAGGUGCUCUUUUCCAUGCAGCACCCUGGUGCUCCAUCUCAGAUCUGCAUUGAAUUCACAUAUAUUGGAUUGCUACAACUCACCAACUUCAGUAAUAAGAGAAAGCAGAAGACUGUGAAAUUCUUGGAGUGACUAAACUUAGUUGAAAUUAUUUCUUGGUGCCUAGAUAAUUGAUAAAAUAGAAUAGAGACCACAUCACCUGGAAUCAGUCUAAUACCAAAUAGAUGUUCCAAUGAGACUUGCCAUUGUUAUUUAUUCUUUUAUUUGUGUGGAUGCAGUUUCAGAAAUUGUUUCCACCAAACAAUUGGGCAGCUAAGUUAUAGAGCUUGGAUGCCUUUAAGUGAUAAGAAGAUACCUAAGUAGUAUUGGAUGCAUCUUAAGAAGAAAAAUACCUCUAAAGUUUGUCAUGGAAAGGGAAACCUUUGUCCUUAUGAGGAAGAAUUAUGCUCAUUAAUUCUGUAUUAACAGCCAAGUCUUCUUACUUAGGGUCUAUACUUGAGUUACCAAGAUGGGUUGCUAACAGGAUUGAUCAAAUGAGACAUGCUUUUCUAUGAAAAGGGAAGGAAAGUAUCAGUGAAUUCCGUGCAAAGGAAGAAGUAUGAAAAGGGAGUCUGGGUCCAAAGAAUAUUAGAAACAUUAAUCUCGCUUUGUUAGCAAAAUAGGCUUGGAAGCUAAUUAAAGGGUUGGAUGCACCUAGAAGAAAUCAAAUCAAGUUCUUAUUAUGCUAGAAGGAAGCUUAGUGUGCAUGUUAGAAGAUCCUUGGUCAAUUUUUCACCUAUUUGGAAGGACAAUAGGAAAGAAGUUGAAGCCUUUUGGAAUUGUACUCCUUUUAGCAGAGUUAACAUCCAUUUUUGGUAAAACUCUUGGGUUGGAUCUAUGCUGUUGUCUGCUCUCUUUGAAGAUCUUUGUUGCAGAGUUGUAAAGGCUAAUACCCGUUGCACUAAUGGAACUAGAGAUCCUUGACAUGGAACAUAAGAUUGCAAGGUCUGCUUUUCCUUCAUGAACCAAGAUAGCUAUAAAUUAUGGAGGAUCUCCUAUUCCCAUUAAACCAUCUAGAAUAGCAGACUUAUCGGUGCGGAGCCUUACAGAGAGUGGUAGUUUUACUACUGACUUCUACUACAAGUUCAUCAAUAACAUGGUAUUCUUUACCCUUACUACAAAACAAUCUGGAAGAGAAAGUUAAAAUGUUCCUGUGGCUUGCCUUGGAGAAUAUAUUGCAUACUGGAGAUGCUUUUGUGAAAAAGGUUGGAUGGUCAGCUCAAGUUGCCCAUUGUAUCGUAAAAUUUCUUAACUGCCCGUUUACUAGAAGCAUUUGGUCCUCAUUGAACUCAUGUUCGAAAUUGAAUUAUUGGCCUCCUGAUCUUCAUGCCCUUUGGACAACCUGGAGAUGAAAGAAAAUCAAAUUGUUGCUGAGGAGGGCUUGUGAUCAACUUCUUAUGGCACUGCAUCGACAAGUACUUGGAGACCCAGUGGAUGUGUUGGAAUGGCUGUGACUAUUUGCAAGAAUGCAAACCAAGAUUUCUUUACCAAUGAAUUUGGACUUCCCUUAACCAUGAACCCCAAAUUUUGAGGACAUGAGUUGUGACAUGGUGUAUGGUGAAGUACCUCUUCCUUUUGAAGAGGAUCAUCUUUCAAAGUAGCCUUGCUAUGUUGACGUGUGUAUGUUAAAUAUUUAUGAUAAAUUAAACAGUAAUAUGAUCCUCCUGUACUUCCUAACCAUGAGUUCCACAGCUUCUAUGGCCAAUCCCAGCUCCACUGUUUGCCCUAAACUUGAAAAAGAUCAGGAACCUAACUCAAACUUCUGAGACAACCAAGAGCAUUGUAUCAUUACUUCUUCAGGGUUAUUGACAAUGGCUUUUGUUUUGUCAUAGCUGGUAAAAAGUCCUGCAUCAUGCAGUUGCUUGGAAAAGCUCCCAUCUGGUAGGAAUUGUUUAACUCCUGUUUGUAUUGCAACACAAAGUGUAUAUGUUCACAGUCUACUUUAGUCAAAAUUUUAUCUUUACUAAUUACUGCAU